CUCAGCGGCUGAGUGUGGCUUCACUUUGGAGUUUCUUAAAUUCCUAGCCUUCUUAAAAGUUUUCAUUUUUUUCUCCUCUCCUCCAUUGAAACACCACCCAUCCAUUAAAGCUUUAGUUUUGUUGAAGGAGAACCCAUUGUUGAAGAUUUGAGUGCUUCCUCAACCUCUAAAGUUCUCAUUUUUCUGUUCCCAAAAUGAUCCUAGAUCUGUGAGUGCAUUGGAUUCUAUUAGUGGUGUGGACCCUUGUGAUACCGAGUUCGAGUCGGAGGGGCAUACGGGUACAUGUUCAGGUAGUAUUGAGGCUUCUAGUGGCAGGAGGCCAGAGCUUAGUUGAUUGAUGAUUAUUAUGCUGCUGUUAUGCUGGAUUGCAUGCUGUUUAUACUUUUAGUUUCAGUUUACGUAUGGAGUAUUAUGUGGAGACUCUGUUAUUAUUGCUGUUUGUUUGGUAAGCAUGGGGAUUGUCCAUGACACACAGUCUGUUUAUGUCUUAGUCUUAUGUCGGGAGUUGUAAUAAUUAAUCAGGAUUAUUGUCCGGACUCCGAGUGUGGACCCGUGAUAGAUACUCACUCUUUAUUUUUAUAUUGAGGUAUUUCAGUUAGUUGUCUUGC
This is a long non-coding RNA of Gastrolobium bilobum, 608 nucleotides long. RefSeq lists it as uncharacterized. The record is from RefSeq and is a predicted model, not a curated record. NCBI's taxonomy places the organism in Eukaryota, Viridiplantae, Streptophyta, Magnoliopsida, Fabales, Fabaceae. The transcript has 3 exons.